RNAcentral lists this ribosomal RNA (465 nucleotides) under Vreelandella stevensii. RNAcentral's name for it is "partial 16S ribosomal RNA". It matches the Rfam family "Bacterial small subunit ribosomal RNA", at positions 338 to 795 of the family's 1533-position model. Lineage: Bacteria; Pseudomonadati; Pseudomonadota; Gammaproteobacteria; Oceanospirillales; Halomonadaceae. The record is from RNAcentral.
CCUACGGGGAGCAGCAGUGGGGAAUAUUGGACAAUGGGCGAAAGCCUGAUCCAGCCAUGCCGCGUGUGUGAAGAAGGCCUUCGGGUUGUAAAGCACUUUCAGUGGGGAAGAAAGCCUUGGGGCUAAUACCCUCGAGGAAGGACAUCACCCACAGAAGAAGCACCGGCUAACUCCGUGCCAGCAGCCGCGGUAAUACGGAGGGUGCGAGCGUUAAUCGGAAUUACUGGGCGUAAAGCGCGCGUAGGCGGUCUGAUAAGCCGGUUGUGAAAGCCCCGGGCUCAACCUGGGAACGGCAUCCGGGACUGUCAGGCUAGAGUGCGGGAGAGGAAGGUAGAAUUCCCGGUGUAGCGGUGAAAUGCGUAGAGAUCGGGAGGAAUACCAGUGGCGAAGGCGGCCUUCUGGACUGACACUGACGCUGAGGUGCGAAAGCGUGGGUAGCAAACAGGAUUAGAUACCCCGGUAGUC